AUGCUGGGCGCCGCACGCGGCGGCUCCACGUGUCCACGCGCCCGCUGCUGCGUGGAAGGAAUAGAGGCCUCCCUGUGCAUACGCGCGACGUGGCCGCCCCGGACGGGCCAGAUGCUCCCCAUCCGGCCGCAGAGGCGCCGGUGCACGGUACCACCUGUCCGAGACCCUCGCGCCGCCUCCCGGGAGAGGAUAUUUAAAGCGGGGGCAGGGGCCCCGCCGUACUCUCGCUUGGCACCGCUCUCCGCCUUGCGCUCGAGAUCUCAUCCGAUCCUCACCCCACCCAUGCCGACUGAUCAUGGCAGCAGCAGCGACGGCGGCCACCAGGCGCAAUGUCGGCGGAGGGGCGCCAGCGUCGACGUCGAGCUCCGCGCCGCCAUGGCGCUGGCCGACAUGGCGGGGGCCGGGGCCGGGGCGGCCGCCGACCACGCGCUCCCGGCGCAGCACCUGCAGCACGCCGCCGCCCCAGCAGCUCAGGCGGCGAUGGAGCACGAGGACGAGGAGCUGGCGAGCACGAGGCUCAGCCUUGAGCUGGGCAACGUCGGCAUCCAGUCCUCCCCAUGUUCCAGCAGCUCCAGCGGCGCCGGGCAGCAACCGCCGCAGUCGUCCGCGGCCGUGACGGGAUACGGCCUCAGCAGACCGCGGCACAUGCUCACCGAGGCAGAGAAGGAGGCGAAGCGGCUGCGGCGCGUGCUCGCGAACCGGGAGUCCGCCCGGCAAACCAUCCUUCGCCGCCAGGCGAUCCGGGACGAACUGGCGAGAAAAGUCGCGGAUUUAGCGUCGCAGAACGAGAACAUGAAGAAGGAGAAGGACAUGGUGCUGGAACAGUACCUCACGCUCAAGGAGACGAACAAGCAGCUGAAACAACAGGUGGCCAAGACGACCAAGAAGAAGCCGUCGUCUACACCAGCGAUCACGCCCAUGGACAUCGCGCCGCCCGCACAGAGCGCGGAGGCCACCCCGCCGCAGACGCCGCCGCAGCCAAGCUUCCUGUACAGCGCGCCGCCGACGUCCAUGCCUGUGCCCUACGUCUGGGGCUCCUGGCCCCCGUGCGGUCCGGGGGUGUACGAGCAUGGUGGCAACCCGGCUGGCAUGGCGGGACACGCUCCGACGCCGCUCUGCGUCCCGCCGGCCUGCGCGUGGUAUUACCCCGUCGUCGCCGCUUCCACCGACCCCCGCGGCUCGCCGCCGGCCUACGUGCAGCCGUUCCAGGAGCCGACAGGCAGUGGCGGGACGGCCGGGGAGGACACCGACGACGACCCUUGCUCGCUGACCCUCGCCAUCGACGCUGCCGACAAGAAGAGCCCCGCCGCCGGUCCCAACGCUUACCAAAGUAGCAGCGGCGUGGUGGGGGCAGUGGGGCUGCAGGUCGCGCUUAGCGGCAGAGAGAAGGCGGCGACGGCGGCCGAGGCGAGGAAGAGGAGGAAGGAGCUCACCAAGCUGAAGCAAAUGCACGGCGGAAGCCGCCAUGGCGCUGGCGAGCACUGGUGA
This 1488-nucleotide ribosomal RNA is filed under the name Triticum aestivum (bread wheat). Its description in RNAcentral is "partial small subunit ribosomal RNA". The record is from RNAcentral. Lineage: Eukaryota; Viridiplantae; Streptophyta; Magnoliopsida; Poales; Poaceae.